Long non-coding RNA from Cajanus cajan (pigeon pea), 270 nucleotides. RefSeq lists it as uncharacterized. NCBI's taxonomy places the organism in Eukaryota, Viridiplantae, Streptophyta, Magnoliopsida, Fabales, Fabaceae. The record is from RefSeq and is a predicted model, not a curated record.
CACUGUCAAAGAACUUAGAAUGGAUUUACCCCAUGAGUUAUAAACAACAAGGACAUUAUGAAUGUGGAUACUAUGUCAUGAAUUGGAUGUCAGAAAUAAUUGAAGGGGGAGUAACAAAUGGUUGGAGUGAGCUUUUUGAAGAUGCUACACCAUUGGGGGAAACCAAAUUGGAAGACAUUCGGAUUCAUUGGGGAAUUUGUUUUUAGAAAAAUUUAGAAAUAGAUCAUGUUGAAAGGUCUAGUAUUACAUGUAAAAUUUAGAAAUAAGUGA